GAUGAACGCUGGCGGCGUGCCUAAUACAUGCAAGUCGAGCGAACGGACGAGAAGCUUGCUUCUCUGAUGUUAGCGGCGGACGGGUGAGUAACACGUGGAUAACCUACCUAUAAGACUGGGAUAACUUCGGGAAACCGGAGCUAAUACCGGAUAAUAUUUUGAACCGCAUGGUUCAAAAGUGAAAGACGGUCUUGCUGUCACUUAUAGAUGGAUCCGCGCUGCAUUAGCUAGUUGGUAAGGUAACGGCUUACCAAGGCAACGAUGCAUAGCCGACCUGAGAGGGUGAUCGGCCACACUGGAACUGAGACACGGUCCAGACUCCUACGGGAGGCAGCAGUAGGGAAUCUUCCGCAAUGGGCGAAAGCCUGACGGAGCAACGUCACGUGAGUGAUGAAGGUCUUCGGAUCGUAAAACUCUGUUAUUAGGGAAGAACAUAUGUGUAAGUAACUGUGCACAUCUUGACGGUACCUAAUCAGAAAGCCACGGCUAACUACGUG
Molecule: ribosomal RNA, 497 nt
Filed under: uncultured bacterium
Lineage: Bacteria
Description: partial 16S ribosomal RNA
Rfam family: Bacterial small subunit ribosomal RNA
Source: RNAcentral